RNAcentral lists this transfer RNA (67 nucleotides) under Marmota monax (woodchuck). RNAcentral describes it as "tRNA.Ala". The record is from RNAcentral. Lineage: Eukaryota; Metazoa; Chordata; Mammalia; Rodentia; Sciuridae.
GGUUAUGGCUCAGUGGCAGAGCACCUGCCUAGCAUGUGUGAGGCACUGGGUUCGAUCCUCAGCACCA